This 6653-nucleotide long non-coding RNA is filed under the name Homo sapiens (human). RNAcentral describes it as "HSALNT0394150". The record is from RNAcentral. Lineage: Eukaryota; Metazoa; Chordata; Mammalia; Primates; Hominidae.
CCGACUUUGACACAUGGGGAAUAUGAGGAUUAAAAUUCCAAACGAUAUUUGGGUGGGGACACAGAGCCAAACCCUACCACCCACCUACUUAGCUGUGCAUCCUUGGGGAAGCCCCACAACCUCUCUGUGUCUUGGUUUUCUCAUCCCAUCUGUGAGGUGAGGACAAUAAUAGUGCCUACCUCAUAAGAUUGUUUCAGAAGAAAUAAUGCAUGCAAGUUGCUUAGUGCAGUGCCUAGCACAUAUUAAGUAGCUAAUAAACAUUAGCGAUUUUAAUUGUUCAUGCUUAUGCUGUGAGUGAUGUAUUCAUGUGGGUGUGUCUGAGCAUCUUCAGGGCCAUUGUCCAAGAACCCCAAUCAAAAGUGAAUUCAGGCAGUAGAGAGAUGGGUAAGGAGUUUAAAUGCUAUUCUGCAUGUUCUAAGAAGUUAACCUUGCCAUGUUGGAAUGUCAUGGGCACAUAAUAUUCUGACCAGCUGAUUUGCUUAUCUUGCCAGCCCGCAGAGUCUGAGCCAUCCUUGCUCUUUCCCACUGAGCUCUGGGCAGUUCUCUCUGUUGACCUUGGGCUGGAAGAUCUCUGAGUAAACACCUUAAAUGGAGGCUGGGAGCAGCAGCAACUGCUUGAGAGCUCUUUAUCUUUCCUUUUCCAGGCCUCAGCUAUCUGUCAUUGCUGUUUAUGUAUAUGUCUCAUCUCUAGGAGACAGCCAGGAGCCCCUUAUCGGCAAUUUCCUUGUUUUCUUGAAGUAUAGCAUCUUGUACACAAUAGGUGCUCAAUAAAUAUUUGAUGAAUGAGUGAAGUAUUCACUGAAGAUUGCAGACUAUGAACUUUACAAAUUCUGUACUGUUUGAAGUCACCAUGCACAUGGUAUUUUAUAUGUUACAAAGCACUUUCCUUCCUCAAACUGAAUUUAUUUCCUCAAUCAAUCUCAUGAUGGGGUGUAAGCUAUAGAUGGUGCUCUUCUUCUUGUUUUGCAGGGUCAGUGAUGUGAGGGUACCUGCUUCAUGGGCCACACAGUGAGUUGACACAGGAGCUAAGACUGUCUCAGCCUUCUUUGCUCAACAGCAUUCCCAACCUCUUUGUGUUGGGCCCUGGACUCUUCCCUAAGGUUCUCUCCCUCAUCCAAUGACUGUGGGCAUGUGCUGUGCCAUGGUGUGAAGCUGGGUCUUCCUUUGUGCAAGCUGGGCUGGUAUGUAGACCUUCUCCUUCCUUUUGGUGAGGAUGCACUUCUCCUGCACUUGACCUCUGUAAGGGCUCAGUGUGGCAUGUCCUUUAGGCCCUUGAGCUACCUUCUUCCUUUUCAACAGAACCUUGAUCCCCUUUUCCUGCACAGAUGUUUAUUUUCUAAGAACAACAUGGCUUUGGAGUCAAGAGGAAGGGCUGUCCCUGGGAGGGGGUAGAAAUCGGGACAGAUACCAUCAGAUGCUGUCCUAAGAGCUUCUUAUUCAGGUAAAGCUCGGAGUCAGAUGACUAUUAAAGGUAUUCCUGGUGGGGAAAAGGAUAACUUGCAGUCAGAAUGGGGGUGUUUGGAAUGGGAGGAGGCUGGUGUUUGGUGAGGGUAGGGAAAAUGCUUAAUGGGCUGGUGUUGAAUCUCAGGUCUUCUUAAGCACCAGCUGAUGGGCCCUAGUUCUCCUAGUGGAGCACCUGGGUGUGCCGAUCCUCUGUGCCUUACGUGGUGUUUCUCAUCCUGGCAAAAUGUGUUUUAGGGUCAUCGCAGGCAGUAAACCUACACUCCUUUAAAACUGGCUUUCAGCACACAUUUUCUGUACAAGAAGACCCUAAGUCAUGCUUUUAUCCUGACUUGGUGGAAGACUGACAGGUAGUAGGUGGUGAUGCUGCCACCUCAUUGGUGAUCUGUGGGUGUUGGGGAAGACCAGGGUUAGAGCAAAACAAACCUCUAGGUGAAAGAAGACCAUCAAUGGAUGUGUGUGGCCACACUAGACCAGUCUGGAAUUCCAUGGGGUGUUGGAAUUACAGAGUUUUGCAAAGCCUACCAUUCCCAACAUAUGCCUCCUGCUGGUCUAUUGACAAGAGCUGAAACCUACCAGGAGACAGGGGUUCCUUUUAGUUCAGUUACAGCCUUGUUUCUAGAAUGCCUUCCCCUUCCCUUUCAGCUUCAGUGUUCAGUGGAUGUGAACACUCCUUCCUUGAAGCCCUGAGAACUGAGAUCCUCAAUCUUGACAGCACACAGUCAUCUUUAUCUAGGGACUUUAAAAAAUGCUGAUGACCGGGUCCCUUCCCCAGAGAUUCUGACUUAAUUGGUGUAACCCGGGCACUGGAAUUUUUAAAAGCUCCCUAGGUAAUGGUAAUGUUCAGCCAGGAUUGAGAAACCCUGACCUAGAUCUUUCUGUCUAUGCUCUUUCUGCACACAUUUUAUGCCCUUGCUACUCCAGGUGAAUGAGGGUUCAGCAUCAGCUUCACCUGGGAGCUUGUUAGAAAUGCAGGCUCUCAGCCCCACCCCCAUAACAGAAUCUGUAUUUUGAAUAACACCUUAGGUGAUUCCUGGGCUCACUCAGGUCUGCACACAGGCUUCUCAGGGGUGUAAUGGGGCAGUGCUGGGGUGCAGACAGCUAUAAGAAGGGAGAGGGGAUGGUGGGAGAGGGGCUGGAAACUAUCUUCAUUUAUUUUACAAUUUUUGCUUAGUGGUCAAAGCAUUCAGUAAGCAAGCAAAAUCAGAUUAGAUUUAGCAACAGCAAAACCAACUAAACAAAAACUAGAUUUAUGACUUUAAUUAAAUGCCAUUUGCAUCCUGCAUCUCCAGAUGAAAGGAAAUGGCAAGCACCUCAGUCUUUUUCAGCUUGUGUCUUGGCCAGUGGAAUUUAAAUCACUGCUUCCUAAGCAGCCUGCUCAGGGUUGAAGCAAUGGCAUGCUCCUGAGGAAUCUAGUUAUAGGUGGUACACAAUUUCAGAAAUAAAAGUGUAUCACUUUUGGAAAUGGAGUCUUGCUCAGUUACUGAAAUAGCUAAAUGAAAUGCUCACCUUUUCUUUGUAAACUCACACAAGAGAAUAGAGAGGAGAGACAGAUCGGUUAUUGAUUUGCCCAACCCUGAUGGGAACAGAAGCAUGGGCCCUCUGGACUUAGGUUGAGGUGAACCAAACUUAGGAGGCUUUAAUUGUGGUACCCUCAUGGAGUCUUGGUAUAAACUCCAAUGAGGAAUGCUGGCAGUGGGUGGUGGAUGCCUUAAUGGAGAGCUCUAGUAAAAACCAUAAGUAGUUGAAUAAUAACUGUGCAUUACCAAAGAAGAAAAGACAUAAAAAGCCUCACCUGGAGUGGAAAGGGACAUUUUGUGGAGGUAGUGAGAAGGGAAAUAAUGUAGUUAUGAUUGGCACAAAGGAAUGAAAGAGUGAAAGGAUUGGGAAGUUUUAGAUAGAUACAAGAAAGAAAGGAAGGAGAAUAAGGAGAAAAUGAGGUAAAGGAGGAGAGGAGAGAAAAUGAAGCCACAGUGCAGGAGCAGUAGGUGUGAUGGCAGGAAGGGAUGUGCCAAGAAGGAAGCCAAACAAGCUUAAAGAGGAGAUGGGAGCAGGGAGACAGGGAGACAGAUGGAUGCUCCUGAGCCAUUUGUCCCUACUCUGAAGGGGGCAACAGCCUGUGAGCCUCCAAAGACUCCCUGGUGGGGCUUCUUCCCCUCCUCCCAGAAUCCUGUGUAGGAUGAAGCAACAAUCUUCCCUGAGAAGCAACACUAGGGCUCUUCUUUUCCAUUGCCCUGUGGCUCCUGGCAAACCAGCUAGACUUUGAAAUAGACAUCCUCUGGACCAGCUACCCAAGGAGAAAAUGCAGAGGGGACCUGGCAUGAAGGAAGAACUUUGCAAAUUCCAGUUUUAUUCCAUGCCCCCCUCACGCCUAACCAGAUUUACAAAAUGAGCUUUUAUUACAUUCCCAAAGAAGCUACUUCCCAAAGAAGCUACUUAGAGUUGCAUUAGUUGAGCAUUAAGGGAUGUGUGCAUGCUGGAAGUGGCUGGAAGGCAUUUGCCAAGAUGCUUGUUGUCUAAAUCCUCUGAAGCUUGACUGAGGUAAUGGGACAGAUAAGUUGGUUAUAUUUAAACAGCCAAAACUCUGAAAAGAUGGAAUUUGUCUGGACAUCACUGGAAAGUAAAUUGAGCUUGUUGUGAAAUCUCUGAAGAUAUGUUUUCUAAAAGGAGGGUGAGUGUUGAUGAGCAAAACGCACUGGGACGGUCAUAGCAGUUGGAACAAAAAGAGCAUGGACCCAAGAGCCAAAUUGCAGCUCUUCUACUUACUCCGGAGCCAUGUUGGGCACAGAAUCCUCCUAAUCCAUGAGGCAGGGAUGGUGAGAACUGCCUUGUAAGGCAACACACAGAGGGCCCAGUGUACUGUAUAUAGUGGGUAUCAACAAGUGUCAGUUUUCACCUCUCUCCUCCCAUCUUUUCUGGGGUUGUUCACAAGUGCUAAAGACUCCAACCAUCAGGGAUUUAAUGAGAGUGGAUCUGCUGAAGUAAAUAUUUGGAAGGUUAAUCUUUCUAAAGCACCGAUUUCUCUGUAGCACAUCCUGUACCAGAUAGUGUUCAUUCAAAAGCAUUUGGUGAGCACCUAUUAUGUACCAGUCACAGGGGAUUCAACAGUGAACAAGAAAAAAUUCAUCGUACUCUAACGGAAACCAGAAAGUAACUGUUAAUGCCCAGGAAUGGGGUCAUAGCAGUUCCCACUGUAGGGUAGGAGUAGAGAAUGGAGGCAUUGGAGAGAAUCUUUUGGUUGUUUCAAGGACUGAGAGGCACUCUUGUGUCACUUGCUCUGGGGGAAACUACUGCCAUGUUAUGACAACACACAAGCAACCUUAUGGAGUUCCUUACAGGGGAACUGAGAGCUCUUGUCAUCAACUUGCCAGUCAUGUAAGUGAGCAACUUUGAGAGUGGAUCUUCCAGCCCCAGUCAAGCCUUCAGGUGACAGCAGCCCUGACUGACAUCUUGACUGCAGUCUCAUUAGAGAGCCUCAGCCAGAAAAACCCAGUUACGCUCCUCCUGGAUUCCUGUCCAGAGACAUUAAGAAGAUAAUAAGUGUUUAUCAUUUUAUGUUGCUAAGUUUGGGCAAUUUGUCACACCUGGGGCAAUUUGUCACACCUUGAUAGAUAAUGAAUACAUUAGCCAUUAAUAGCUCUUUAAGGAUCAGAUAAGGUGGUCUCCUAGCAGGAACCCAAAAAAGGUAUACUUUUUAUGGAGGAAAAGGUUCUUGGUGAAAGGAAGUAACUAAUAUUUGCUGAGUACCAACUAUGUGGUAGGUACUGGUACCUAUGUUAUCUUAUUUAAUCCUUCCUAGCAACCAUGUAGAAUCAUGUAGAGAGCACUUGCCUAUAAAUUUGGAGGUAGUCUGCUGACAAAAUGGGAUGACAGACCAUGUAAGAAAGAUCUGUUGGUUUCACAGUUUUGCAGGAAGUUAGUUUCCUAUUGGUUGAGUCUUAUGGGGCAUAAAUAUCUCUAGGGGAAAAAACCCUGACUGGGGAUUGGUUUUGAAGACACAACCCACUAAUUGAAGAAUUACAUACCAAACCCUCUGGCUACCCCUUGGGGACAUACCCAAGAAGUACUUAACCAACAUUGCCUUCAGCGAGAUUGAAUGCAGAGACAACAUUUAAAUGCAUGAAAAAAAAAAUCAGAAAGCAAAGUAAGAAAAUAUUAAAACAGUCGAAGUGUUCCAUCAUUUAAUUAUUUGUCUAUCCUUAGCAAGAACCUCUCAUUUGCAAUGUCUGUAGCCUUGAGGAUGGGAAAUACAUGAUUCCUGCCCUCCAGGAACUGAGGGAUGAUCAGACACAUAAAAACAACGUAGGAUGUAUUAUGUGGAAAAUUCCUGUGGCGGAACCUGAGCCUGGCUUGCUCAGUCCUCCUCCUAGUGUACCUUACUAUACCCAAGAGGCUAGAUAACUAAAAAUUAGAUUUCUUAGCAUUCCUUGCAGCCAGUGUUUUUUUUUUUUGUUUUUGUUUUGUUUUUUUUUUUUUAAUUAGACUUUGUCAGUUAUAGGCAUUUAGGUAAAAUUUAGAAGGUGAGAGUGAAACAAAAGAUUUUUUCCUGCUCUUUUUGGCUAUUUUCUGAUGAAAGUAAGGUCAUGGGCAUAUGUUUUCUUGCCAUUCAGUGCUCAGCCACCAGCUUUACGGGGUUUGAGAAGCAGUAACUACAGUGGCAUCGUGAUUGUGGCUGACUGAUUCCUAGAAUACAGUGGUGGGUUCUUGAAUGCAAUAGUUUCAGUGGUGGCCUUGGAGGUAGUGGCUCUUAUGGUAGAUCAGUUUUGCGGAGUUCCAGGAGUAAUUUCCGACCCACCUCUAGAGCUCCCUCCCGCAACCCUGCCCCAAAUUUUGUAAGCCCUUAUAUCUCUCUAUUAAAUCUUUUUCUGCUUAAAAUACCUGUAGUGAUUUCUGUUUCCUAUGCUGAACUCUCAUUGAUGGAUGCCAUAAGAAAGGAACCAGAUAGUGUUACAUGAGAUUGGGGCAGGGGAGAGGAGGGGAGGGAUGGAAUAAUUAGAAAGGAAUUUUUGGAGGAGGUAACUUUUUAGCAUAAAGGAGUAAGGAUUUCAAAUAGCCCAGGAGAGAUGAGGGUUCCCUGGUGGGAGUGAUUAAAAGGGGCUGUUUCUCCUUCCCCCAACUUGAUACUUCCUCAUCACCUCCCCGCCUCCAGCUGGAUGGGUUAUGGUUUUUAUUAAAGUCUGGACUUGAAUAGU